AUUGAACGCUGGCGGCAGGCCUAACACAUGCAAGUCGAGCGGAUGACGGGAGCUUGCUCCUUGAUUCAGCGGCGGACGGGUGAGUAAUGCUUAGGAAUCUGCCUGGUAGUGGGGGACAACGUUUCGAAAGGAACGCUAAUACCGCAUACGUCCUACGGGAGAAAGCAGGGGACCUUCGGGCCUUGCGCUAUCAGAUGAGCCUAGGUCGGAUUAGCUAGUUGGUGGGGUAAUGGCUCACCAAGGCGACGAUCCGUAACUGGUCUGAGAGGAUGAUCAGUCACACUGGAACUGAGACACGGUCCAGACUCCUACGGGAGGCAGCAGUGGGGAAUACUGGACAAUGGGCGAAAGCCUGAUCCAGCCAUGCCGCGUGUGUGAAGAAGGUCUUCGGAUUGUAAAGCACUUUAAGUUGGGAGGAAGGGCAGUAAGCUAAUACCUUGCUGUUUUGACGUUACCGACAGAAUAAGCACCGGCUAACUCUGUGCCAGCCGCCGCGGUAA
RNAcentral lists this ribosomal RNA (500 nucleotides) under uncultured bacterium. Its description in RNAcentral is "partial 16S ribosomal RNA". It matches the Rfam family "Bacterial small subunit ribosomal RNA", at positions 30 to 523 of the family's 1533-position model. The record is from RNAcentral.